GACGAACGCUGGCGGCGUGCUUAACACAUGCAAGUCGAACGGUAAGGCUCCAGCUUGCUGGGGUACACGAGUGGCGAACGGGUGAGUAACACGUGGGUGACCUGCCCUGCACUUCGGGAUAAGCCUGGGAAACUGGGUCUAAUACCGGAUAGGACCGCACCGUGAGGGUGUGGUGGAAAGUUUUUUCGGUGUGGGAUGGGCCCGCGGCCUAUCAGCUUGUUGGUGGGGUAAUGGCCUACCAAGGCGGCGACGGGUAGCCGGCCUGAGAGGGUGGACGGCCACAUUGGGACUGAGGCACGGCCCAGACUCCUACGGGAGGCAGCAGUGGGGAAUAUUGCACAAUGGGCGGAAGCCUGAUGCAGCGACUCCGCGUGGGGGAUGACGGCCUUCGGGUUGUUAACUCCUUUCACCAUCUACGAAGGUUUUUUGACCGUAGAAGGAAAAGAAGCACCGGGCUAAUUUCGUUCCCGCAGCCGCGUUAAUACGUAGGGGGGAAGCCUGUUCCGGAAAUUACGGGGGGAAAGAGUUCGUAGGGGGUUUGUCGCGUCGUCUGUGAAAUUCCGGGGCUUAACUCCGGGCGUGCAGGCGAUACGGGCAUAACUUGAGUACUGUAGGGGAGACUGGAAUUCCUGGUGUAGCGGUGAAAUGCGCAGAUAUCAGGAGGAACACCGGUGGCGAAGGCGGGUCUCUGGGCAGUAACUGACGCUGAGGAGCGAAAGCAUGGGGAGCGAACAGGAUUAGAUACCCUGGUAGUCCAUGCCGUAAACGGUGGGCGCUAGGUGUGGGUUUCCUUCCACGGGAUCCGUGCCGUAGCUAACGCAUUAAGCGCCCCGCCUGGGGAGUACGGCCGCAAGGCUAAAACUCAAAGGAAUUGACGGGGGCCCGCACAAGCGGCGGAGCAUGUGGAUUAAUUCGAUGCAACGCGAAGAACCUUACCUGGGCUUGACAUAUACAGGAUCGCGCCAGAGAUGGUGUUUCCCUUGUGGCUUGUAUACAGGUGGUGCAUGGUUGUCGUCAGCUCGUGUCGUGAGAUGUUGGGUUAAGUCCCGCAACGAGCGCAACCCUUGUCUUAUGUUGCCAGCACGUUGUGGUGGGGACUCGUAAGAAACUGCCGGGGUUAACUCGGAGGAAGGUGGGGAUGACGUCAAAUCAUCAUGCCCCUUAUGUCCAGGGCUUCACACAUGCUACAAUGGUCGGUACAGUGGGUUGCCAGUCCGUGAGGGCGAGCUAAUCCCGCAAAGCCGGUCUCAGUUCGGAUCGGGGUCUGCAACUCGACCCCGUGAAGUCGGAGUCGCUAGUAAUCGCAGAUCAGCAACGCUGCGGUGAAUACGUUCCCGGGCCU
RNAcentral lists this ribosomal RNA (1342 nucleotides) under uncultured bacterium. RNAcentral's name for it is "bacterial SSU rRNA". It matches the Rfam family "Bacterial small subunit ribosomal RNA", at positions 28 to 1381 of the family's 1533-position model. The record is from RNAcentral.